UUCCCAUUUUCCAGCGAUGGCUAUAAAAUGCCUGGACAAAGGCAAUGGCUAAGCUGCCGUGGGCUUGGUGCUGUCCUGUGAUCCUACCUGAUGGGGCUUCAAACUUUGGAAAAAUACAUACUAGCACAUCGGAGGGAUUAACUGCUACCAAAGAAGGAUGAAGUGUUUCCCUUACUUGCACUUAAAAGAGAUGAACAGCUUUGAAGGUGCAGUUCCCGUGUCUUCUUGACCAUAUUGAAGCCAGAUUUAAAAUUAGGUAGUCAGUGUAGUUAGGUAAAUCGGGUCUAAUAUCGAGUGAAAUCUAAAAUGGAGGCCAUGAGAAUGAAUUCCCGGGAAAGUUGAGCAACUCUCGGAAUGUUAAUGAAGUCCAGGAAACAGCCCCCAACAGAUUUAAAGAUAGCCCAUCCCAAAGAAAUGUUAAUGAACAGCAAACUAGAAGAUGCUAACUCGGAAGUGCCCAGAUUACUUCUUUGGCCCACCUGUGUCCCAACCCUUCGGGCCUUCCCACCUACAUUCCAUCACCGAAAACUAUAAAAAGAGGAACACAUUCGCCCUUCAAUGGAUUCCAUCUCUUGGGUCCCCUUCUUCCUCCUGGAGAAGUCUUUUCUACUGUCCUUUAAUAAACUUCUAUUUUCCACUCUAAA
This is a long non-coding RNA of Marmota monax (woodchuck), 644 nucleotides long. RefSeq lists it as uncharacterized. The record is from RefSeq and is a predicted model, not a curated record. The transcript is spliced from 2 exons. Lineage: Eukaryota; Metazoa; Chordata; Mammalia; Rodentia; Sciuridae.